CCUACGGGAGGCAGCAGUGGGGAAUAUUGCGCAAUGGGCGGAAGCCUGACGCAGCGACGCCGCGUGGGGGAUGACGGCCUUCGGGUUGUAAACCUCUUUCAGCAGGGACGAAGCCGCAAGGUGACGGUACCUGCAGAAGAAGCACCGGCCAACUACGUGCCAGCAGCCGCGGUAAUACGUAGGGUGCAAGCGUUGUCCGGAAUUAUUGGGCGUAAAGAGCUCGUAGGCGGUUUGUUGCGUCGGCUGUGAAAUCCCGAGGCUCAACCUCGGGUCUGCAGUCGAUACGAGCAAACUGGAGUGUUGCAGGGGAGACUGGAAUUCCUGGUGUAGCGGUGAAAUGCGCAGAUAUCAGGAGGAACACCGGUGGCGAAGGCGGGUCUCUGGGCAACAACUGACGCUGAGGAGCGAAAGCGUGGGGAGCGAACAGGAUUAGAUACCCUGGUAGUCCACGCCGUAAACGUUGGGCGCUAGGUGUGGGGCUCAUUCCACGAGUUCCGUGCCGCAGCUAACGCAUUAAGCGCCCCGCCUGGGGAGUACGGCCGCAAGGCUAAAACUCAAAGGAAUUGACGGGGGCCCGCACAAGCGGCGGAGCAUGUUGCUUAAUUCGAUGCAACGCGAAGAACCUCACCUAGGCUUGACAUGCACGGAAAUCUCGCAGAGAUGCGGGGUCCGUAAGGGCCGUGCACAGGUGGUGCAUGGUUGUCGUCAGCUCGUGUCGUGAGAUGUUGGGUUAAGUCCCGCAACGAGCGCAACCCUCGUCCUAUGUUGCCAGCACGUCAUGGUGGGGACUCAUAGGAGACUGCCGGGGUCAACUCGGAGGAAGGUGGGGAUGACGUCAAAUCAUCAUGCCCCUUAUGUCUAGGGCUGCAAACAUGCUACAAUGGCUGGUACAAAGGGCUGCGAUACCGCGAGGUGGAGCGAAUCCCAAAAAGCCGUCUCAUUUCGGAUUGGGGUCUGCCACCUCAACCCCAU
This 972-nucleotide ribosomal RNA is filed under the name uncultured bacterium. RNAcentral describes it as "bacterial SSU rRNA". It matches the Rfam family "Bacterial small subunit ribosomal RNA", at positions 338 to 1321 of the family's 1533-position model. The record is from RNAcentral.